Molecule: ribosomal RNA, 423 nt
Filed under: uncultured fungus
Lineage: Eukaryota; Fungi
Description: eukaryotic LSU rRNA
Rfam family: Eukaryotic large subunit ribosomal RNA
Source: RNAcentral
UUGACCUCGAAUCAGGUGGGACUACCCGCUGAACUUAAGCAUAUCAAUAAGCGGAGGAAAAGAAACUAACAAGGAUUCCCCUAGUAACGGCGAGUGAAGCGGGAAGAGCUCAAAUUUAAAAUCUGGCGGUCUUUGAUUGUCCGAAUUGUAAUCUAGAGAAGCGUUUUCCGUGCUGGACUGUGUACAAGUUUCCUGGAUACGGAACAUCAUAGARGGUGAGAAUCCCGUCCUGAACACAGGCUCCCAGUGCUUUUGUGAUGCGCUCUCGACGAGUCGAGUUGUUUGGGAUUGCAGCUCAAAAUGGGAGGUAAAUUCCCUUCUAAAGCUAAAUAUUGGCGAGAGACCGAUAGCGAACCAGUACCGUGAGGGAAAGAUGAAAAGCACUUUUGGAAGAGAGUUAACAGUACGUGAAAUGUUAAAGGA